AUUGAACGCUGGCGGCAGGCCUAACACAUGCAAGUCGAGCGGAUGAAGGGAGCUUGCUCCUGGAUUCAGCGGCGGACGGGUGAGUAAUGCCUAGGAAUCUGCCUGGUAGUGGGGGAUAACGUCCGGAAACGGGCGCUAAUACCGCAUAUGUCCUGAGGGAGAAAGUGGGGGAUCUUCGGACCUCACGCUAUCAGAUGAGCCUAGGUCGGAUUAGCUAGUUGGUGGGGUAAAGGCCUACCAAGGCGACGAUCCGUAACUGGUCUGAGAGGAUGAUCAGUCACACUGGAACUGAGACACGGUCCAGACUCCUACGGGAGGCAGCAGUGGGGAAUAUUGGCAAAGGGCGAAAGCCUGAUCCAGCCAUGCCGCGUGUGUGAAGAAGGUCUUCGGAUUGUAAAGCACUUUAAGUUGGGAGGAAGGGCAGUAAGUUAAUACCUUGCUGUUUUGACGUUACCAACAGAAUAAGCACCGGCUAACUUCGUG
This 483-nucleotide ribosomal RNA is filed under the name uncultured bacterium. RNAcentral's name for it is "partial 16S ribosomal RNA". It matches the Rfam family "Bacterial small subunit ribosomal RNA", at positions 30 to 507 of the family's 1533-position model. The record is from RNAcentral.